RNAcentral lists this unclassified non-coding RNA (262 nucleotides) under uncultured Trichosporonales. RNAcentral's name for it is "sequence contains 5.8S rRNA gene, ITS2, 28S rRNA gene". The stretch from base 1 to 52 matches the Rfam family "5.8S ribosomal RNA", at positions 103 to 154 of the family's 154-position model. The record is from RNAcentral. Lineage: Eukaryota; Fungi; Basidiomycota; Tremellomycetes.
AACGCAACUUGCGCUCUCUGGUAUUCCGGAGAGCAUGCCUGUUUGAGUGUCAUGAAAUCUCAACCAUUAGGGUUUCUUAAUGGCUUGGAUUUGGAGGUUUGCCAGUCUGACUGGCUCCUCUUAAAAGAGUUAGCAAGUUGAACUAUUGCUAUCUGGCGUAAUAAGUUUCACUGGAAUGGUAUUGUAAAGCGUGCUUCUAAUCGUCUUCGGACAAUUUUUUGACUCUGGCCUCAAAUCAGGUAGGACUACCCGCUGAACUUAA